Molecule: long non-coding RNA, 389 nt
Filed under: Mus spicilegus (steppe mouse)
Lineage: Eukaryota; Metazoa; Chordata; Mammalia; Rodentia; Muridae
Description: lncRNA (ENSMSIG00000023720.1)
Source: RNAcentral
ACAAUAAAACUUGACUUGUACAGAUAUAAAAGGGGCAACAUUCUCCCUUUUACAACAGGUUCCAUGUUGGCAACUGCUAAGCAGAGGUGGCUAAGAAAAGCAGAUCAGUAGUAAAGUAAGAAGACUUGGGAGUGAGCCAUGAGGUCUCCAGGUGUCACUAAUGUAUUCCAGGGCGAUGGUCCGGAAGAGACAGAAGGAGAAGAUCUCCUAGCUGGAUGCAAGAUGCUGAGAUGGGGAGGAAGAGUUGAACAGAGAGACCUGUGCCAAGUGGGACAUCCUCAGCUUCACUCUGCAGUACAGAUGAGGCCUUUCCAACCCAAUGGAGAGUGGAAGUGGACUCCAGUCGGGAUUUGGUUUCCAUGGUAACUCAUCAGCCAUGGUUUGUUCUU